Molecule: ribosomal RNA, 254 nt
Filed under: uncultured bacterium
Lineage: Bacteria
Description: partial 16S ribosomal RNA
Rfam family: Bacterial small subunit ribosomal RNA
Source: RNAcentral
UACGUAGGGGGCUAGCGUUGUCCGGAUUUAUUGGGCGUAAAGAGCGUGUAGGCGGCCAGGUAGGUCUGCUGUGAAAACUCGAGGCUCAACCUCGAGAUGUCGGCGGAAACCAUCUGGCUAGAGUCCGGAAGAGGAAAGUGGAAUUCCUGGUGUAGCGGUGAAAUGCGCAGAUAUCAGGAAGAACACCCGUGGCGAAGGCGGCUUUCUGGGACGGUACUGACGCUGGAGACGCGAAAGCGUGGGGAGCGAACAGG